AUGGAGUCCGACAAGCGCACGGGGACGCCUUCUCCCCUUCUCCCCCGGACCGCCUCCACCGUCACCUACUGCUGCGGGCGGUGCGGGUACGACCUGAAGCUGAGCUCGUCGGCGCGGGACACGGCGGGGAUCGUGGGGGCCGGCGCCGGCGGGGCGAGGCGGCGGGGCUGGCGGGGCGCGGCGGUGGUGGUGUUCGACGCCAUCGACGACGCGCGGUUCGGCCACCUCGACGAGUUCCGCUGCCUCGACCUGCGCGCGCGCCGCCUCUUCGCGCGCCGCACGCGCCUGCUCUGCCGCAAGUGCGGCGCGCACCUCGGCUUCGGCUACGACGACAACACCACCGCCACCAGGCCGCCGCGGUACCACAUCAAGAUCCGGGCACUCCACCCCGCCUCCUCCGAUGACGCCUUCUCCGGCGCCGCCACGCCGCCUCCGCCGUCCCACGCGCCGGCGGAUCCGCGAUCGUGA
RNAcentral lists this ribosomal RNA (468 nucleotides) under Triticum aestivum (bread wheat). Its description in RNAcentral is "partial small subunit ribosomal RNA". Lineage: Eukaryota; Viridiplantae; Streptophyta; Magnoliopsida; Poales; Poaceae. The record is from RNAcentral.